RNAcentral lists this long non-coding RNA (1113 nucleotides) under Cavia porcellus (domestic guinea pig). RNAcentral's name for it is "lncRNA (ENSCPOG00000033523.1)". The record is from RNAcentral. Lineage: Eukaryota; Metazoa; Chordata; Mammalia; Rodentia; Caviidae.
CAGAGAUGGCAGAUAGACAGGGAUUCCAGGGGCCCUGGGAACCGUCUGUGCCUCCAAGCCCUCCGCAUGACCUCCCUCUCCUGCAACAUAGAUCUGUGACUCUGUCCCGUGUCACCAACACCCCUGUGCAGUGGGUGGCACCAAGGAUAUGUUUUGCACAUUUUGUGGAUUGCAGUAUUUCACAGCAGAAGAGUGAAGACCUCAGGCUCAGAUGGGACACAGCAAGAGAGGACUACAUAACUACUGUUUUCACCCCCAUUUCACGGAGAGGAACACUGAGGGUCAGAAGAAAAUGACCAGCUCAGGAACCUACAAAUCCAGACUGGAAUCCAGCCUCAGCAGCUCCCGGCUCUGGUCUCUUCCCGCUGCCUUACAUCAUGCCGAUUGCGUUGCAUUGCAAGAGGCAGGUGUCAUGCUGUGGAGCUUCAUCCCUGGCCCAGCCCUGGUCUUUUCUCAGCACCAGCCUCACAGAUCUUCCAGCAGGCCUUGGACCCUCCCAAGUGCUGGCUUGAGCCUCAGCAGAGAUAUCUGCCUGACCCCUGACUGAGAUUCCUGCCAGGACCCCCUGAGACAAGCUGCCCCAGAGUCCUCCGGUGUCAGUAAGGACUGAGGACUGUGUGAACUUCCAGCCACCCUAAAAGACCCUUCUUGCCCAUGACUCCCCUCAGAUCCAACCCAACUGCCAGGUCCCAUCCCAGACUGGAGCUCUAUAAGCCCCGGAUGCAGCCUUUCUGUGUUCUGAGCCUCACUGGGCCCUGCUCAUUGUCACCUAAGCUUGUUUGACUUGGGACACCCAGAGAGACAGGAUGCCUUGAUAGAAUGACUUCACAGACCUGGAUAGCAGGCAACAGGUCCCAAGGGACAGGUGUGUGUGUGCACCCAUCCCACGCUAUGCCCACCCUCCUGGGGCAUUGUCUGAGGGACAUUGUCCGGAGUGCUGGGCGGGUCCUUUAUGGUCAGGCAUAAAAGGUAAUCAUUGACCAUAUCAAUGCUGCCCUGCGCGUCAGUGCCCGCCCAGGCAUGGCCCUGCCAGGGCCUGGAUUACUUUACAGUCACAUAAAAGGAACCUCCAGACUGGGCCCUGAGGACUUUGGCCCCAAGGGGGGAGCAGGA